UGGCGGCAGGCUUAACACAUGCAAGUCGAGCGGUAGCAGAUCUAGCUUGCUAGAUGCUGACGAGCGGCGACGGGAGAGUAACGCGUAGGAACCUGCCCAGUAGUGGGGGAUAGCCCGGGGAAACUCGGAUUAAUACCGCAUACGCUCUACGGAGGAAAGAGGGGGCUUCGGCUCUCGCUAUUGGAUGGGCCUGCGUGAGAUUAGCUAGUUGGUGAGGUAAUGGCUCACCAAGGCGACGAUCUCUAGCUGGUCUGAGAGGAUGAUCAGCCACACUGGGACUGAGACACGGCCCAGACUCCUACGGGAGGCAGCAGUGGGGAAUAUUGCACAAUGGGCGCAAGCCUGAUGCAGCCAUGCCGCGUGUGUGAAGAAGGCUUUCGGGUUGUAAAGCACUUUCAGUGGGGAGGAAGGCCUCGUAGUUAAUAGCUGCGAGGAUUGACGUUACCCACAGAAGAAGCACCGGCUAACUCCGUG
This 474-nucleotide ribosomal RNA is filed under the name uncultured bacterium. Its description in RNAcentral is "bacterial SSU rRNA". It matches the Rfam family "Bacterial small subunit ribosomal RNA", at positions 37 to 507 of the family's 1533-position model. The record is from RNAcentral.